This 253-nucleotide ribosomal RNA is filed under the name uncultured bacterium. RNAcentral describes it as "partial 16S ribosomal RNA". It matches the Rfam family "Bacterial small subunit ribosomal RNA", at positions 524 to 776 of the family's 1533-position model. The record is from RNAcentral.
GACGGAGGGUGCAAGCGUUGUUCGGAUUGACUGGGCGUAAAGGGCGUGUAGGCGGUUGGUCAAGUCUGAUGUGAAAGCCCGGGGCUCAGCCCCGGAAGGGCAUCGGAAACUAGCCAGCUGGAGCGCGAUAGAGGAGGGUGGAAUUCCUGGUGUAGCGGUGAAAUGCGCAGAUAUCAGGAGGAACACCGGUGGCGAAGGCGGGUCUCUGGGCCGAUACUGACGCUGAGGAGCGAAAGCGUGGGGAGCGAACAGG